GUGAUGCACUGCUUUGUCGACGCGGCAGUAGAACCGCUGAUCGGCUUAUCCUUCUUGGUUAGCCUGGAUGGAUCUUCCCACCGGUUCUCGCCGAGAAGGUACACUCUGUGUUUGUUGUAGUCAAUUUUUUCCACCACAGGUUGCUGAACCUCUGCGGUUUCUGUUAUAGGAGGAACAAGUGCUCCGUUUACGCCUUCCUGCAAGUAAAACAGAAGUAUAAUCUCAGAUUUGUGCAUCAGGAUGUCACUGCGACGCCAUGGCCACAUCACUGAAAUACUGACUGUGGCUUGGAGUUGGAGUUUCU
This 304-nucleotide long non-coding RNA is filed under the name Triticum aestivum (bread wheat). RNAcentral's name for it is "long non-coding RNA (TAES_LNC022854)". The record is from RNAcentral. Lineage: Eukaryota; Viridiplantae; Streptophyta; Magnoliopsida; Poales; Poaceae.